AACUCCUCCAGCGGCGUGGAAUUUUUCCUCGAGAGGAGGCGGCGGCGCAACGAAGACGCGACGGCGGGGGCGGCGCGCGGCGCGCGGCGCGAUCCGGAGGCGACGGCGACGGCACGGCGCUCACCUCCGGCCGCCAUCUUCUCUCCGGUGAGCAGCCUUUCCCCCUCUCCCCUCCUCUUCCAAAGCUAGGGUUAGGGUUUUCUUCUCUUCUCCGGCGAUCACACGCUGCCUUUUCUUGCCCCGCCCCGCCGCCCUUCCCGUGCGGCGCCAUCCGUCGUCCCAUCUCCUCUCCGGCGAGGGCGUGCUGUUCGGCUCUUCUCCUCCGGCUCCUCCGCCGCGCCGGCGUUCCAGGCGAUGCGCGUCGUCCCCGGCCACCACCACCACUUCCCUUGUGCUCGACGCGCUCGCCAUGCUCACCAAGACCAGAGCCAUCGCCGCCGCCACUUCACAGUUCACCGGAGAAAGCCGCUACUAGCUACCUAGUUCUCUGCAUAGAUUUGUUUCUUGGCUCAUACAGGGGAUAUGUGCAUGCUGAAGUCCGGUCAAAUGACCAAAUGCUUCUUCCCUUUUCUUGCAUUGAUCCAAGUGUGACUGCACUUUUGUUCACAAGAAAUCCAAGCGUGCCUGAUCUAAGUUCCUGUUUUUUUCAGUCUCUUUUUGUUUAGUUUGGAUGAUAAUAGCUAUGUUGUACUUGUGAGUUUUUUCAGUCUCUUUUUGUUUAGUUUGGAUGAUAAUAGCUAUGUUGUACUUGUGAGCUUGUAUGGAUCGUCAUACCUAGCCUUCUCGAUAGAAAAUCUCUGGUGAUGAACGAGCCUCUCAAUGGAUUUUUGCUCACCAGAACGACUAGGAAGCUCUGCAUAUUCUGAGGCAGAAGCUAGAAUCUCCAGGAGGCCUUUCAACUUGGUCUUCAGAGUUAGCAUAGAACUGAAUCACUCAAUAGUCGUGUAGGUGACGUUGUAAUACGAGGCAAUGAGACCAAGGUUGAGGGUCUUCAGGUAAAAAUUUUCCUCUAUAGCCAAACAAUUUGUUGAUUCCAAGCCUUCCAGGUCGUUCAGCACUGUCUCAACCAGCUCAGAAAGAUGUUCUGAUACAUGCCUAUGGAUCAUUUUGCAUCUUGCAGAGCUUUUGUUUACAACUCUCUGAACAUUUUUAGUCAUGUUCUGGCAAAUACAUGGAUCAGAGAUUAUUUAUUAAUUACCCAGUGCUGUUUUUAAUUUUUAGAAAAUCACGUGUGUGUGUGUGUGUGUGUGUGUUUUGCAGAAUUGCCUUGGUGCAAUUGAUGAAUAUUUUAGGCUUGCUGUUGACAUGGACUAGUUAUUUUGGUUAAUUUAGCUGUGCAGCUUAUUGUAUCAAAAUGAUUAUUGUUGUUUAUUAAUUGCACAGUAGGACAUACUAGCUAGUAGACUUUUGCAUUACUAGGAGUAUUUGAUUUGUAUGAGUAUCACUUUCUUUGGGUUACUGCUUGUAUUCUCCGGCAUAUUAGAGUUCUUGUGAUGGUUGCAGUUCAGCAUCAUUUUGCCCGGUUCAAUAGUUGGUUGGUUUCAGGAAAUUUGAGACAAUUGCUCACUGCACUGAAGCAUUGCGUAAGUAUUUGCAGUUUACAACUGAAAAUUAAAGGAAACUUCUUUCUUCUCUACAGGCUUUGGGAGGAAGGAAGUCUGAGAGGAUGCUGGUUCAAAUACUGAGUGGCUGAGCAAACAUGUACAUGAUGCUGGUUUUGUAAAGGAGCAAUAAAUGUGGUUCUCUGAACAUUGUAUAUUGCUGAUGUAACCAUUUGGCAUAGGAGAGUACUGGUGUGGCAGCCCAUGUUUAUUUUUUAUAGCUUGAAAGGUCACAUAAAUGCAAAUUCUAAGUAGAAAUGUCAAGUGAAUCAUGCCAUAUUUCACUUUUUUUUUAGGCUUCAUCAAUGUGUAUUUGAUGCAUCAGUAGCAAAUGAUGCAUGACGUUCAUGGGCCCAUGCUUAAUUAUCUCCUGGCUAAUUAUCUCAAGUGAAUCAUGAUAUAGUUUCAUCUUUUUCUUCUUUAUUGUCAAAUUUCACUCCUAUGGCUGUUA
Molecule: long non-coding RNA, 2052 nt
Filed under: Oryza sativa (Asian cultivated rice)
Lineage: Eukaryota; Viridiplantae; Streptophyta; Magnoliopsida; Poales; Poaceae
Description: long non-coding RNA (OSAT_LNC001862)
Source: RNAcentral